GUCUACAGCCAUACCACCAUGAAUGUGCCUGAUCUCAUCUGAUCUCAGAAGUUAAGCAGGGUCGGGCCUGGUUAGUACUUGGAUAGGAGAAGUAAAUGAAAGCACAAAGGUAAUGAUGGCU
Molecule: ribosomal RNA, 121 nt
Organism: Chlorocebus sabaeus (green monkey)
Lineage: Eukaryota; Metazoa; Chordata; Mammalia; Primates; Cercopithecidae
Source: Ensembl